RNAcentral lists this ribosomal RNA (499 nucleotides) under uncultured Marvinbryantia sp. Its description in RNAcentral is "partial 16S ribosomal RNA". The record is from RNAcentral. Lineage: Bacteria; Bacillati; Bacillota; Clostridia; Lachnospirales; Lachnospiraceae.
CACGUAGUUAGCCGGGGCUUCUUAGUCAGGUACCGUCAUUUUCUUCCCUGCUGAUAGGGCUUUACAUACCGAAGUACUUCCUCACUCACGCGGCGUCGCUGCAUCAGGGUUCCCCCCAUUGUGCAAUAUUCCCCACUGCUGCCUCCCGUAGGAGUCUGGGCCGUGUCUCAGUCCCAAUGUGGCCGUCCACCCUCUCAGGCCGGCUAUGGAUCGUCGGUUUGGUGGGCCGUUACCCCGCCAACUGCCUAAUCCAACGCGGACCCAUCCUAUGCCGCCUCAGCUUUUCACACCGUACCAUGCGGUACUGUGCGCUUAUGCGGUAUUAGCACCCGUUUCCGGAUGUUAUCCCCCUGCAUAGGGCAGGUUGUCCACGCGUUACUCACCCGUCCGCCGCUAAGCCACAUCCUCUUCCUCCCGAAGGAUUCCAAUGAUGUGCUCCGCUCGACUUGCAUGUGUUAAGCACGCCGCCAGCGUUCAUCCUGAGCCAGGAUCAAACUCU